GAUGAAGAACGUAGUGAAAUGUGAUACUUGGUGUGAAUUGCAGAAUCCCGUGAACCAUCGAGUCUUUGAACGCAAGUUGCGCCCGAAGCCAUUAGGCCGAGGGCACGCCUGCCUGGGCGUCACACGUCGUUGCCCCCCCAUCUACUCCUUCGGGAUUGCGGGGAGCGGAUGAUGGCCUCCCGUGCGCCUUGUCGCGCGGUUGGCAUAAAUGCCAAGUCCUCGGCGACGCACGCCACGACAAUCGGUGGUUGCGAAACCUCGGUUGCCCGUCGUGUGCGGUCGUCGCGCAUCGAGGGCUCGAAAAAAUUGUCGGGCUCCGGCUCGGCUUUCAACGCGACCCCAGGUCAGGCGGGGUUACCCGCUGAAUUUAAGCAUAUCAAUAAGCGGAGGA
Molecule: unclassified non-coding RNA, 391 nt
Filed under: soil metagenome
Description: partial contains 5.8S ribosomal RNA, internal transcribed spacer 2, and large subunit ribosomal RNA
Rfam family: 5.8S ribosomal RNA (bases 1-122)
Source: RNAcentral